RNAcentral lists this long non-coding RNA (1282 nucleotides) under Callithrix jacchus (white-tufted-ear marmoset). RNAcentral describes it as "lncRNA (ENSCJAG00000086267.1)". The record is from RNAcentral. Lineage: Eukaryota; Metazoa; Chordata; Mammalia; Primates; Cebidae.
AUGGAAGGAAACUGGACUCUUGAAUAUUUCCUGGAAUGCCCACCUUUUGAUCAAGGAUUUGCAUGUCUGCUUCUCCAAUCUCCCCCUCGGGACAUUCAAAGAAGGCACCUAAGUCUCUGUCAUCAACCACACUUCCACACUCUUCGGAGGGACGUGUGGCCAAGAUGCUGGGUGAUCGCUAUGUCUUCCUUCCCUAUUUCCCUCACUGCCCAGUCCUCAUCGUCCACGUAAUCUCUCCCACCCCCGAGUAAUGCAGGAUUCUCAGUGGGGUGUAGGCCAGGAAGGACAGUCACCUCCCUCCAACACUCACUGACGCUAGUCCCGGGAUUCUAUAUAUCAUUAGUUCUGCUGCUCACAGAUGGGCCAGCAGCAGCCGAGUAUGCAUCUCCUGGCGGGCAGCAGGCUCUCCAUGGCUCUUGAAGGCUCUGCAGCUCUGUCUCCACUUGCCAGUGGCCUAUGGGCCACAAGAGACCACCUGGAACCCUGAAGGACUGUUUCCUCUCCAGCAGAAACAAGGGCCCACCAAUCAGAAUAGACCGUUCAUUGGGUCGGGCUGAAGGAAGGGAAAGCACCCUGUUUGAGAAAACUGUGUCCCUGAUUUUGUGUAAAUAGAAAGUGACAUUACUAAUGCAGUGCCUUGGGGGAGUGGAAACAGCUUACUGCAGCCCCUAACUCAGGCCACUCCAGGCCCCACCUGGCUGCACAGCACAGCUAGAGGGUCAAAGCAGGACCAUGCCACAGCCCGAGGUCCACACAUGAUUCGCUGAGGGCAGCAUGCUGGCCUGUCCCUGCUGAGGCUCAUGACCCUGAUUUCAAGUCUCCUUCUGCUGCAGGGAAGGCUGGUCCUGCCUGCAGAGUCUGUCUACCUUGCUAGACUAAGCUCCUUGAAGAAGAGUCUAUGUUUUCUUCAUCUCUGCAUUCUCAGUAGCUAACCAAUGUCCAGUGUACACUAAGGGCUCAGUCAUUGCCUUGUUUUCUUGUUGACUCUACUCUGAUUUAGGACAUAACACUUUCCCCUCUUGACCUCUGUAUUCAGAUUUGUAAGUGGGUAAAGGCCCCUGUGGCUUUAAAACCCCUCCAACAUAGAACUCAAACUGGAGCCAGUCCCAAGGAAUGAUGAAUGGAGCAUUUUUCCUGGUGUGAUGGAGAGGACCCACAGAUCUGGCUGUCUUGUCACUUGAAUCCCUCUGCAGAAUUUGACCCCAGUUUUCAAAUCAGACUCAAGAACGAUGUGGGUUUUUUGUUUUAUUUUUUGAGACUUUGUUAUUGACACAGUUUCUGG